This 31-nucleotide ribosomal RNA is filed under the name Diutina mesorugosa. RNAcentral's name for it is "partial 26S ribosomal RNA". The record is from RNAcentral. Lineage: Eukaryota; Fungi; Ascomycota; Pichiomycetes; Serinales; Debaryomycetaceae.
UCUCAAAUCAGGUAGGACUACCCGCUGAACU